RNAcentral lists this ribosomal RNA (292 nucleotides) under uncultured Bacteroidota bacterium. Its description in RNAcentral is "uncultured Bacteroidetes bacterium partial 16S ribosomal RNA". Lineage: Bacteria; Pseudomonadati; Bacteroidota. The record is from RNAcentral.
GGACUACUGGGGUUUCUAAUCCUGUUUGAUCCCCACACUUUCGUGCCUCAGCGUCAGUUACUCCUUAGUAAGCUGCCUUCGCUAUCGGUGUUCUGGACGAUCUCUAAGCAUUUCACCGCUACACCGUCCAUUCCGCCUACCUCAUCAGUACUCAAGUUCCCCAGUAUCAACAGCACCUCGACAGUUGAGCUGCCGUAUUUCACUGCUGACUUAGAAAACCGCCUACGCACCCUUUAAACCCAAUAAAUCCGGACAACGCUUGCCACCUACGUAUUACCGCGGCUGCUGGCAC